RNAcentral lists this unclassified non-coding RNA (655 nucleotides) under Peltigera degenii. RNAcentral's name for it is "sequence contains ITS1, 5.8S rRNA gene and ITS2". The stretch from base 269 to 423 matches the Rfam family "5.8S ribosomal RNA". The record is from RNAcentral. Lineage: Eukaryota; Fungi; Ascomycota; Lecanoromycetes; Peltigerales; Peltigeraceae.
UUUCCGUAGGUGAACCUGCGGAAGGAUCAUUAAUGAGGGCGCGUGGGCUAAUAUCCCCGCGAACCCUAACCCUUUGUUUACUGCCCCCAUUGUGGUUUACUUGGGUGCGGUUUGGCUUCAAAGAAAAAAAAAGAAAGAUAAAAUAAGAAACUGUUUUUUUCUUUCUCUUUUCUUUUGAGGUUUUAAUGAUGUGCCCAAAAGGCUGCCACAGUUAAAAAAAAUCUCAUUAAUACAUUGAUGUCUGAGCAAAUUAUUUUUAAACAAGCAAAACUUUCAACAACGGAUCUCUUGGUUCCGGCAUCGAUGAAGAACGCAGCGAAAUGCGAUAAGUAAUGUGGACCGCAGUACUCAGCGACUCAUCGAAUCUUUGAACGCACAUUGCGCCCCUUGGUAUCACCAAAGGGCACACCUGUUCGAGCGUCACCAGACAUGCAUCAGGCUAAGGGCCCGGCUUGCAUUGGGCUUUUUCUAUGUAUGGAAAAGUCUUAAAAUCAGUGGCGGUUAAGUUAGGCAUUCCAGCGUAGUGAUUAUAUUAGCUGUUGAAAUACCAUUAACAUAACCGUCAACAUGUCCAGGGUUUCUGCUGGCGGAGACCUGGUUGGAUUUAUUAUCAGAUAUUGACCUCGUAUCAGGUGAGGAUACCCGCUGAAUUUAA